GACGUAGGGCGCGAGCGUGUCCGGAUUUAUUGGGCGUAAAGAGCUCGUAGGCGGCUUGUCGCGUCGAAUGUGAAAACCCACGGCUCAACUGUGGGCUUGCAGCUGAUACGGGCAGGCUUGAGUUCGGUAGGGGAGACUGGAAUUCCUGGUGUAGCGGUGAAAUGCGCAGAUAUCAGGAGGAACACCGGUGGCGAAGGCGGCCUUCUGGACA
This 211-nucleotide ribosomal RNA is filed under the name uncultured bacterium. RNAcentral describes it as "partial 16S ribosomal RNA". It matches the Rfam family "Bacterial small subunit ribosomal RNA", at positions 524 to 735 of the family's 1533-position model. The record is from RNAcentral.